This 302-nucleotide ribosomal RNA is filed under the name uncultured bacterium. RNAcentral describes it as "partial 16S ribosomal RNA". It matches the Rfam family "Bacterial small subunit ribosomal RNA", at positions 508 to 809 of the family's 1533-position model. The record is from RNAcentral.
GCAGCCGCCGCGGGAAUACGGAGGGUGCAAGCGUUAAUCGGAAUUACUGGGCGUAAAGCGCACGCAGGCGGUCUGACAAGUCAGAUGUGAAAUCCCCGGGCUUAACCUGGGAACUGCAUUUGAAACUGUCAGGCUGGAGUCUUGUAGAGGGGGGUGGAAUUCCAGGUGUAGCGGUGAAAUGCGUAGAGAUCUGGAGGAAUACCGGUGGCGAAGGCGGCCCCCUGGACAAAGACUGACGCUCAGGUGCGAAAGCGUGGGGAGCAAACAGGAUUAGAUACCCGCGUAGUCCCUGUCUCUUAUCA